This 68-nucleotide transfer RNA is filed under the name Anthus novaeseelandiae (New Zealand pipit). RNAcentral describes it as "tRNA-Phe". The record is from RNAcentral. Lineage: Eukaryota; Metazoa; Chordata; Aves; Passeriformes; Motacillidae.
GUCCCCGUAGCUUAUAAAAAGCAUGACACUGAAGAUGUCAAGAUGGCUGCCCCCCGCACCCGAGGACA